RNAcentral lists this ribosomal RNA (448 nucleotides) under uncultured bacterium. RNAcentral's name for it is "SSU rRNA". It matches the Rfam family "Bacterial small subunit ribosomal RNA", at positions 26 to 518 of the family's 1533-position model. The record is from RNAcentral.
AGAGCGAACGCUGGCGGCAGGCCUAACACAUGCAAGUCGAGCGGUCGUAGCAAUACGGCAGCGGCAGACGGGAGAGUAACACGUGGGAACGCGCCCUUCGGUUCGGAAUAACUCAGGGAAACUUGGGCUAAUACCGGAUACGCCCUUACGGGGAAAGAUUUAUUGCCGAAGGAACGGCCCGCGUCCGAUUAGCUUGUUGGUGAGGUAAUGGCUCACCAAGGCGACGAUCGGUAGCUGGUCUGAGAGGAUGACCAGCCUCACUGGGACUGAGACACGGCCCAGACUCCUACGGGAGGCAGCAGUGGGGAAUAUUGGACAAUGGGCGCAAGCCUGAUCCAGCCAUGCCGCGUGGGUGAUGAAGGCCCUAGGGUUGUAAAGCCCUUUGGCGGGGAAGAGUAAUGACGGUACCCGCAGAAGAAGCCCCGGCUAACUUCGCGCCAGCAGCCGC